Molecule: long non-coding RNA, 19380 nt
Filed under: Brassica napus (rape)
Lineage: Eukaryota; Viridiplantae; Streptophyta; Magnoliopsida; Brassicales; Brassicaceae
Description: long non-coding RNA (BNAP_LNC023050)
Source: RNAcentral
CAGCAAUAUCAGCGAGUGGAAAAAGCGGCGUCUUCGUCGUCGCAAUGGAUGCUCAAACACAUAAUCUUGAAAGUUCCUUUCCUCCACGACAACACUAAAAAUAAGAGGCUGCCGCGAGAAGAGCUUAACCAUGUGGUGGCCGAGAUGUUAGGAACUGCAUCUCUUUGGGUUGGGUCAGAGUUUAGUCGUCUUUGAAGUUGUUUUCCUCGUCGUUGGCUUACCAUUGUUACUCCCCUCUCGUCUUGGUUUUCAAGAUAUGGUUUUUGGUGAUCUGACUUCUAUAGCUCGAGGACGGCUCCACGAUUUGAUGAUUUCGUUUUGUCUACCCUUCCAGCUAUGUUCUUUCAUCUCGUUGCAGCUUUCAACCCUGCUUGCGUCUCUGUGACCCUCUCUCUCUUUCGCCAUGUUUGCCACUCUAGGUUUGGAUAGUGUUCUCCUCCGAGUAUGCUCUGUAGAUUUGGAAGAUUGUUUCUGGUCUCAAGUAUGGACUCAUGUUUCUCGGGGGUUGGCUUCAUUUCUCCCUCAAUCAUGUUUCAUGAGGAAUUAAAAGGAAUAGCAUGAGACCCGUUUAUCAAUAAUUUAACCAAAAAUUGAAUCUAAUCGGUAUAAAAUUUGAGGAACCAAAAAUUCACCAUAAUUUGUUUCUAUAAUUUGGUAACCAAUUAGCCUUUUUUUUUUUUUUUUUGAUAACAACAAAGAGACUCAUGUAGGCUCUGAAUACCAAAAAGGUUGCUCCGCAUCCAAAUGGACAACGAAAGACAGCUGUCUCUUGGCACCCCGUGGUAGGCUAUCCCCCUUUUUAUUUUGCGUCCGCGAGAUAUGAAUGAUCUGUGAGCUGUGAAAACUAUCCUUCAAAAUCUUGAGAUCUUCCAUGUAAGCUUCAAAAGCUGGUCAUUCCCCUGGUUCCGAAACCAUCUUCACCAAUUGGGAAUAAUCCGUUGCAAAUGUGACCUGAAAUUGACGUAAGUUUCGCAUACAUUCCAUAGCCCAAAGUAGUGCUUCCAUCUCCGCGUGAAGGGGAGAGACAGAGGAACCAUAACAUUCUUGCACCCACCAAACCGUCAAAACCUUCUAAAGUGCUAUACCAACCUUGUCCGGCCAUUGGGUCACAUUCUUUCCAGGAUGUGAUAAAAAAACCUCCCAAGGAAUACACUCUGAAAUUGGUAAGGGAUAAGCCUUGCACCGAAUGAGCUAGAAAGCAACAAACGAUCAAGGGAUGUGAAUCAAAAGGUGACACAAGAGGGGCGAAAAGUCUCUUGAUACUACCCUAUAGUUUUUUUUGUCUAAACCAGGAUACAUCUCAUAUACCACAUACCCAACUGUAUGUACUACUAGGGGGGUGUCCGCGCUUCGCGCGGAAUAUUGUUUUAUUGUUGUUAAAAGUAUGAUUUUUUGGAUAAUGUAAUUAUGUGAUCACUUUUAUUUGUUAAGAAUGUUAUUUGGUGUUUUUAUUGUGUUAUGUAGUAGUAAUAGUGAUAUGUUAAUAUAUUUUGUCUUUGUUUUUUUAAUAAUGUGUGAUAAAAAAACCUCCCAAGGAAUACACUCUGAAAUUGGUAAGGGAUAAGCCUUGCACCGAAUGAGCUAGAAAGCAACAAACGAUCAAGGGAUGUGGAUCAAAAGGUGACACAAGAGGGGCGGAAAGUCUCUUGAUACUACCCUAUAAUGGCCGCCUCUAGAUAUGACACACUAGAUUAGACCAAGUUAGACUGAAGGAUAUUACACACCAACAAUCAUAAAAGUUUUGACCAAUGGAUAUGACAAACCAUGAUCGAAAACAGGUUUGAGAAUCACUCUCAAAGUUCCAAAAAUAUAAACUCAACUCUUAUUUUAUUUCAUGAAGAUUACAACUUAUUUAUAGGAUACUAAACUUGGUGAGAAAGCUAAAUACUUAUUACAUGGGAAAUGAUAAAAAUGAGUGCAUGGAGGAGAGAGAAUGUUCUUGAAACAAGCAUUCCUUGCAUGCAAGAGAGAGAAGCUUUCCAUGCAAUGAAAUACCAAAUUUUUGUAACUCCUCUUGGACAGCAAAUAAACCACUUGUUUAUGAAUCUUUUUGGGCUUGUAACUUGAUAAAAAUGGGUUGGACAUGCUAUCUAAUUAUAUCAUGGAUCAAAUUCUGAAUGUCUUUCAUGCCUAUAGCUUCAUAUACCAGCCCAUGAUCACAUCAUAUCUGUGAAAACUAUCCUUCAAAAUCUUGAGAUCUUCCAAGUAAGCUUCAAAAGCUGGCAAUUCCUCUGGUUCCGAAACCAUCUUCACCAAUUGAGAACAAUCCGUUGCAAAUGUGACCUGAAAUUGACGUAAGUUUCGCAUACAUUCCAUAGCCCAAAGUAGUGCUUCCAUCUCCGCGUGAAGGGGAGACAGAGGAGCCCUAACAUUCCUUGCACCCAUCAAACCGUCAAAACCUUCUAAAGUGCUAUACCAACCUUGUCCGGCCAUUGGGUCACAUUCUUUCCAGGAUGCAUCCACAAAACACCAUCGUCCUGGAAUUGAUGGUAAAUUCCCCACUUCUAUGUUUGGUACCACCUUUGUAUGCAGAGUUUGUGCCUCCGCCCAUAGAGUGGAUUCGACCUCUGCCAAAUUAAGAAUAUCCCUGGGGUCUAUAUCAAUAUUAGUAAAGAAUUUAUUAUUCCUGCCUUUCCAGAUAUACCAUAGAAUUUAUGCAAAUUGGUGAUCAUCCAUUUCCGGGAUAACUCUCGAAAAUAGGUUAUCCAUAUUUGUGAAAAGCGAGCUUGUUGGAAAGAUAGCCAGAUUUGAUGGUAUUUUGGAGAGCGCCCACACCUAAAUCGCUGGAGGACACUAAAAAACACAUGGUUUAUUGAUUCCUCGGGAUCUCCACAUCUCGCACAACACACAUCCCCUUUUAUUCCUCUCGCACUCAGAUUCUUUUUAACCGCUAUACACCCUGAAACCAGCUGCCACAAGAAAUGUUUUAACUUUGGUGGACAUCGUAUAGUCCAACAGAGCGCUUUCAAAACAUCCACUGUGGGGCCAAACACAGUCAAUGGUCUUUCCCUAUCUGGAUAAGCCCGUUCCACUUGGUAGCCUGAUUUAACCGUGUAUCUCCCAUUAUUUGUGAAAUGACAUCCAUCUUUAUCUGUGCCUUGAAUCCUACUCAAAGGUAUACUUUCAAUUAUUUUCACAUCCUCAACUAAAACCUGCAGCAAACCCCCCUGCCACUUGUCGGAAGAAGGGAAAAAGUCUAAAGAUAUGUGUACGUAACUGUGUCUAUGUGUCUAUCAUUUUUUUAUUUGUUUCUGGGGUCAGAUAUCUCUAACUUUAUUGGGUUUUAUAAGACAUUAACAAGGGAAACACAUGGUGGCUACUUGGCUAGCAAUUAACAUCAAUUAUUAAAAAGAACUGUGAAACAUCUCAUUCGCCUCCUUUAUUACACCAAACCACUUUCUUUUACUUACCGGUCAGGUCGACAAUUCUACCAUUCCCCUUCUUCUUUUUAUUUCUCUUUUCAUUUAAAUAAAAUUAAAGAUGCUACUUUUUAUUAUGGUUGAUAAACACUAGAAUAUUGCAAAUUUUCAAAUAAGAGAAAGGAAUGAGAAAGAUAGAAAACCCGCAAGCAUAGUAACACAAGUCAAAGCAACGUCUGUUUUCUCUUGUUUGUCAGUUAGCUAUUUUCUCUACUGAAAUAUGAUAUGCUUUUUUCCAGUAAAAUAUUAUAACAUAUUAAGAAAUAUGCAUUCUGUAUUCUGAUUUUCCUAUCAGGGGAUGACACGAUUAUAAGACCAUUAGUUUUUUUAUUUCAUCUGUAUUCUACUUUAACCUGGUCCCACCCUUUUGAUGAGUCCUUUGCUUACCAGAGAUCUAGCUGAAAUAAUACUCCGCCAACCAUAUGAUGGGGAAUAUGAGCGAAUCGGCUCCAGGGGUGAUGCAUUCCUGUAAUACCGACCUUUAAAAACGCGUGCAAAUAAAGUGUUUGGCUUGUCUAUCAAGCACCAUAACUGCUUGCCGAGCAUUGCCGUGUUAAAAUAUGUUAUGUCCUUAAAACCCAAUCCUCCCUCCUCCUUGCUGACACAAAUUUUAUCCCAUGAUUUCCAAUGCAUACCUUUUGUACUUCCCCAUGGACUCCACCAAAACUGAGCUACUGCAGCGGUUAAUUUCUUCGCGGUUGCCUUUGGUAAUCGGUAACAGGACAUAACAUGAUUUGGUAGUGCCAUAACUACUGAUAUGAUGAUUACCUCCUUCCCUCCUUUUGAAAAGAAUUUGAAAGUCCACCCAUUUAUCCUAUUUGCCAGUCGUUCCUGUACAAAGCUGAAAACCUGUAUCUUUGAUCCGCCAAUAUUCUCUGGUAGACCCAUAUAAGAUCCCAUUCCUCCUAGGUUUUGUAUACCCAAAAUGUCUCUCAUCUCUUGUCUCUUAGAUUCCUCAAUCUUGUGUCCAAAUUGGAUCGAAGAUUUUUGGAAAUUAAUAAGUUGGCCAGAAACCUCCUCAUACUCCUUUAGAAUCCGUAGUAUUGUUUGACACUCCUCUAUUUGUGUCUUGCAGAAGAAAAAACUAUCAUCUGCAAAAAACAGAUGAGAGAUCGGGGGGCAUGCUCUUGCCACUUUCAUACCCGUUAUUUGUUUCUCUCUCUGCCUUUUUGAUAUUUGAUAUUAAUGCCUCAGUACACAUAAUAAAAAGAUAUGGGGAUAAUGGAUCCCCUUGCCUUAAACCUCUGUUUGGAAUUAUGAGCCCCGUCGGUUGACCAUUAAGUAGAACCCGAUAUUGCACCGACGAUAUGCACUCCCUCAUUAGUUUAAUCCAAUGGGAGUCAAAACCCAUUUUUUGCAGUAAAGCAUAGAUAAAACUCCAUUCCACUCUAUCAUACGCCUUACUCAUGUUCGUUUUGAUUGCCAUAUAUUUUCCUUUGCAUGCCUUAUUGGUACGCAACCCAUGAAACAUCUCCUAUGCUAUUAGAAUAUUAUCAGAAAUUAACCUUCCUGCCACAAAUGCCGAUUGAGUUUCCGAAAUAGGAGAGAGAAGACAAGAUUUCAAGCGUUGGCACAAAACCUUUGAGAUAAUCUUGUAUCCUACAUUGCAUAAACUUAUUGGUCUUAGCUCCGUCAUCCUCGUGGGUCUCUCCGUUUUUGGAAUCAUACAUAUAUUCUUUAUAUUUAACCUUGGGUCCAGUUCCCCUGUAGCGUCGUCUAUGCUACAUUAUCAGUUUUACAUAAUAUUGUCUAUGUUACUAUAUGGUGUGAAUUUAAGUCGAAUUAAUAAAUAAAAAAACAAAAAUUAGUAACUAAAAUUAAACCAAAAUACCCACUUAGAUUAUUGUUCUAUUAAUAGUGUGAGUUAAUAAGUAAUAAUCCUUAUUUGUAUUUAUAUAUACUAGUGCCGAUUCAAGCUACGCGGGAUGUCUAUAUUUCUGUAUGAAAAAUUGUAUUUUGUUAUGUUGGGUUUGUGGUUUUAAAUAUAUGAUUGUUUAUGCAUAUGUCAUUUGGAAUUUUUAUUUUAUUUGUGUCUUUUAACUAAUUAAUAAUAUAGAUUACUGAAGUCUAAGAAAAUACAUUUACACGAUAUUAGUUUCUUCUGAAAUGAUUCUAAUAUAUUAGAGUUUUAAAUUUGUUUAGUGUUUUUUCUUCUUGUUAUGACAUUUUUUUUUUGAAAAAUAAUGAGAUAAAUCGAUAUAUCUUACCAUCAAAUUGGAGUAUUAAAUAGUGUAUGAUAUAUUCAAGUAUUAAGACUUUUAGUAAAAAAAGAGACUUGGUUUUACUUAAGAGUUUGGCUGGUUAAAUAUAUUAUAUAUGAUUUUCAGUACAUAUUCUUUUAUUGUAACAUAUUUUAAGUAAAUCAUUUAGAUAAUUUUUGAUCAAUUAUUUUUUUCAUUAAACUUGAUAUUGAUUCAUUUGUGUCAAAUUAAGUUAGAAGCUUCUAGAAACUAUGUUGUGAACAAAAGCUUAAAAAAUUUGAUAUCCAAGUAGGUAAUAGAAUUAGCUUAAACUCCAAAACAUAAUUACUGCAGCUUCCUCACUUUUUACGGCGCACACAUUGUGGUAACUGAGAGCUUGUAUUGGAGUUGGAUCAGAGAAGCCUUAAUUGGGAUGCUCUUUAGAAAAAAAAGGGACACAUAAGAAAGCAAUUCGUCAGGUUUACGGAGCCACAUAAAGUAUCAUUCUCCGACAGCAUAAGGACAAAUUCGUUUCUGUCUAGACACAGCGGUGAAUUAUAUGAAUCAAAAUUCAGCAACAUCUAAAGAUUCUUCCAUGAGCUUUCGGUGAACCAAAGCCUUUUCUAAAAAAAACAUUAUCCACUAAAACAUGCACUCCAAAUUAUUAGGAAAAAUCCCAACAAGUGACACAGUAUAUGACAUCAGCUCCUCUAAGAGAAAAUAUCGUACCUCGAACAAAAGAGAGUGUACAUGACAAAAAUUAUGAUUCUACACAGUUUAUACCUGCUAGUAAUUGUUUUUUUUUAACAACUCCUGCCAAUAAAUUUUAAUAUCUGAAUUUACUAACUCUCAUAAGAUAAAUAUGGCUAGCAGAUUUUUAAAAACUUCAAUGAUAGAAAAAAAUAGUUCCCACCAUUAAUCACUAAAUCAAACAGAAAAAGAAACAAAAAGAAGUAUGAGAAUAUAAUUUUUUUUUUUUUUGAAUGGAUGUUAAAUUAACUCAAAAGAAAAUACACUGUUUUUGCAACUUGUGCUACAUUUUUAGGAAUAACUUCAAAAUUUUAUAAAAUUUUAGACUAUAUGCUAUCUGGUAGAAACCACACCCCUAAGGCUGCAGCAAAUGUGAAAUUCCGAACCUGCCGGAACGAGAGACAUUUGUUUCGGACUUGCCUAUGAAGUAUGCCGACCAUAACAGAGACUGUAGUUGGAGUAGCUCCAUGUCUUCUGUCAUUUCUUUCUCGCCAUAAAGAAUGUAUCGAGAGUUGGAAGACAUAGCGGGUUAAGAACUUGGAGAGAAAAUUCUGACUGUUAUCCUUGAUGAUCUCUAUUAGCUCUGUCCAGUCAGUUGUGAAACUCCCACGAAGAAGAUUUUUGGUUAACCGAGACCAUACCUCAGCGGCGAAUGGACAGGAGAAGAAUAAAUGAUUCCUAGUUUCCAGCUGGUUGCAGAACACACACGCUGGGUUUACACUAGAAGACGGUUUUGAAUAGCUAACCAAGUAAAGAAAGCAAAUUUUGGAGUGUGGUGUUUGAACCAUAAGCUCUUUUGCUAAUCGACAAUUGGAGCUUGCUGAUGAAGUAAACUCCAAUUGUUUUUUGUACUGAAUACUGGUUUAUACUCAUACGGAGAACUCUUCCAGAUAGCACAAUCCUCUUCAUUGGAUAGCUUGGCUCUCUGUUCUACCAUAGCAGCUUCAAUGAUGUUCAGAAUAUCUUGUAGAUGGUCUCUACUUCGUCUUCUCGAAAGCAAAGCUAAGGAGACCGUUGCAGUCGCUCUAAUUCCUAAGUCAAUGCACCCACGGACUCCAGUGAUAUCAUACAGACAUCCCAGUGGAGACCAAGAAUCAAACCAGUGAUAAAAAAACCUCCCAAGGAAUACACUCUGAAAUUGGUAAGGGAUAAGCCUUGCACCGAAUGAGCUAGAAAGCAACAAACGAUCAAGGGAUGUGGAUCAAAAGGUGACACAAGAGGGGCGGAAAGUCUCUUGAUACUACCCUAUAAUGGCCGCCUCUAGAUAUGACACACUAGAUUAGACCAAGUUAGACUGAAGGAUAUUACACACCAACAAUCAUAAAAGUUUUGACCAAUGGAUAUGACACACCAUGAUCGAAAACAGGUUUGAGAAUCACUCUCAAAGUUCCAAAAAUAUAAACUCAACUCUUAUUUUAUUUCAUGAAGAUUACAACUUAUUUAUAGGAUACUAAACUUGGUGAGAAAACUAAAUACUUAUUACAUGGGAAAUGAUAAAAUGAGUGCAUGGAGGAGAGAGAAUGUUCUUGAAACAAGCAUUCCUUGCAAGCAAGAGAGAGAAGCUUUCCAUGCAAUGAAACACCAAAUUUUCGUAAUUCCUCUUGGACAGCAAAUAAACCACUUGUUUAUGAAUCUUUUUGGGUUUGUAACUUGAUAAAAAUGGGUUGGACAUGCUAUCUAACAUCAUGGAUCAAAUUCUGAAUGUCUUUCAUGCCUAUAGCUUCAUAUACCAGUCCAUGAUCACAUCAUACUCCUCCUCUUCAAAAAGAUUUGUCCUCAAAUCAUGCUCUCCAAAGAAAGAAAAACUUGAAUAUACACUUCCCAAACAAUCUAGCAGAUUUGUAGAACAUAAAUAACAAAACUUUUUUUUUCUUUUUUUUUAGAAGAUGGAUAGAUGAGAAUGGUGGAUAACAGAGGUGAAUAUCGCUUUCAGAGUGGCUCUGAUACCAAAUGAUAAAAAAACCUCCCAAGGAAUACACUCUGAAAUUGGUAAGGGAUAAGCCUUGCACCGAAUGAGCUAGAAAGCAACAAACGAUCAAGGGAUGUGGAUCAAAAGGUGACACAAGAGGGGCGGAAAGUCUCUUGAUACUACCCUAUAAUGGCCGCCUCUAGAUAUGACACACUAGAUUAGACCAAGUUAGACUGAAGGAUAUUACACACCAACAAUCAUAAAAGUUUUGACCAAUGGAUAUGACACACCAUGAUCGAAAACAGGUUUGAGAAUCACUCUCAAAGUUCCAAAAAUAUAAACUCAACUCUUAUUUUAUUUCAUGAAGAUUACAACUUAUUUAUAGGAUACUAAACUUGGUGAGAAAGCUAAAUACUUAUUACAUGGGAAAUGAUAAAAUGAGUGCAUGGAGGAGAGAGAAUGUUCUUGAAACAAGCAUUCCUUGCAUGCAAGAGAGAGAAGCUUUCCAUGCAAUGAAACACCAAAUUUUCGUAACUCCUCUUGGACAGCAAAUAAACCACUUGUUUAUGAAUCUUUUUGGGCUUGUAACUUGAUAAAAAUUGGUUGGACAUGCUAUCUAACAUCAUGGAUCAAAUUCUGAAUGUCUUUCAUGCCUAUAGCUUCAUAUACCAGCCCAUGAUCNNNNNNNNNNNNNNNNNNCUUUCCCUAUCUGGAUAAGCCCGUUCCACCUGGUAGCCCGAUUUAACCGUGUAUCUCUCAUUAUUUGUGAAAUGCUAUCCAUCUUUAUAUGUACCCUGAAUCCGUCUCAAAGGUAUACUUUCAAUUAUUUUCACAUCUUGGGGAUCAACUAAAACCCGAAGAGCCUGUGAGUUCCAAGUUCGCGAAGUAGGAUCUAUUAAAGAGUCCACUGUAAGGUUUGGAUAGUUAUCGUGCAGAUUUUUAGUUGCUGGUCUCGGGCGGGUGGUUGGGAGCCAAGGAUCAUUCCAUACAGAGAUGGAUGAACCUGGUCCCACCCUUUUGAUGAGUCCUUUGCUUACCAGAGAUCUAGCUGAAAUAAUACUCCGCCAACCAUAUGAUGGGGAAUAUGAGCGAAUCGGCUCCAGGGGUGAUGCAUUCCUGUAAUACCGACCUUUAAAAACGCGUGCAAAUAAAGUGUUUGGCUUGUCUAUCAAGCACCAUAACUGCUUGCCGAGCAUUGCCGUGUUAAAAUAUGUUAUGUCCUUAAAACCCAAUCCUCCCUCCUCCUUGCUGACACAAAUUUUAUCCCAUGAUUUCCAAUGCAUACCUUUUGUACUUCCCCAUGGACUCCACCAAAACUGAGCUACUGCAGCGGUUAAUUUCUUCGCGGUUGCCUUUGGUAAUCGGUAACAGGACAUAACAUGAUUUGGUAGUGCCAUAACUACUGAUAUGAUGAUUACCUCCUUCCCUCCUUUUGAAAAGAAUUUGAAAGUCCACCCAUUUAUCCUAUUUGCCAGUCGUUCCUGUACAAAGCUGAAAACCUGUAUCUUUGAUCCGCCAAUAUUCUCUGGUAGACCCAUAUAAGAUCCCAUUCCUCCUAGGUUUUGUAUACCCAAAAUGUCUCUCAUCUCUUGUCUCUUAGAUUCCUCAAUCUUGUGUCCAAAUUGGAUCGAAGAUUUUUGGAAAUUAAUAAGUUGGCCAGAAACCUCCUCAUACUCCUUUAGAAUCCGUAGUAUUGUUUGACACUCCUCUAUUUGUGUCUUGCAGAAGAAAAAACUAUCAUCUGCAAAAAACAGAUGAGAGAUCGGGGGGCAUGCUCUUGCCACUUUCAUACCCGUUAUUUGUUUCUCUCUCUGCCUUUUUGAUAUUUGAUAUUAAUGCCUCAGUACACAUAAUAAAAAGAUAUGGGGAUAAUGGAUCCCCUUGCCUUAAACCUCUGUUUGGAAUUAUGAGCCCCGUCGGUUGACCAUUAAGUAGAACCCGAUAUUGCACCGACGAUAUGCACUCCCUCAUUAGUUUAAUCCAAUGGGAGUCAAAACCCAUUUUUUGCAGUAAAGCAUAGAUAAAACUCCAUUCCACUCUAUCAUACGCCUUACUCAUGUUCGUUUUGAUUGCCAUAUAUUUUCCUUUGCAUGCCUUAUUGGUACGCAACCCAUGAAACAUCUCCUAUGCUAUUAGAAUAUUAUCAGAAAUUAACCUUCCUGCCACAAAUGCCGAUUGAGUUUCCGAAAUAGGAGAGAGAAGACAAGAUUUCAAGCGUUGGCACAAAACCUUUGAGAUAAUCUUGUAUCCUACAUUGCAUAAACUUAUUGGUCUUAGCUCCGUCAUCCUCGUGGGUCUCUCCGUUUUUGGAAUCAUACAUAUAUUCUUUAUAUUUAACCUUGGGUCCAGUUCCCCUGUAGCGUCGUCUAUGCUACAUUAUCAGUUUUACAUAAUAUUGUCUAUGUUACUAUAUGGUGUGAAUUUAAGUCGAAUUAAUAAAUAAAAAAACAAAAAUUAGUAACUAAAAUUAAACCAAAAUACCCACUUAGAUUAUUGUUCUAUUAAUAGUGUGAGUUAAUAAGUAAUAAUCCUUAUUUGUAUUUAUAUAUACUAGUGCCGAUUCAAGCUACGCGGGAUGUCUAUAUUUCUGUAUGAAAAAUUGUAUUUUGUUAUGUUGGGUUUGUGGUUUUAAAUAUAUGAUUGUUUAUGCAUAUGUCAUUUGGAAUUUUUAUUUUAUUUGUGUCUUUUAACUAAUUAAUAAUAUAGAUUACUGAAGUCUAAGAAAAUACAUUUACACGAUAUUAGUUUCUUCUGAAAUGAUUCUAAUAUAUUAGAGUUUUAAAUUUGUUUAGUGUUUUUUCUUCUUGUUAUGACAUUUUUUUUUUGAAAAAUAAUGAGAUAAAUCGAUAUAUCUUACCAUCAAAUUGGAGUAUUAAAUAGUGUAUGAUAUAUUCAAGUAUUAAGACUUUUAGUAAAAAAAGAGACUUGGUUUUACUUAAGAGUUUGGCUGGUUAAAUAUAUUAUAUAUGAUUUUCAGUACAUAUUCUUUUAUUGUAACAUAUUUUAAGUAAAUCAUUUAGAUAAUUUUUGAUCAAUUAUUUUUUUCAUUAAACUUGAUAUUGAUUCAUUUGUGUCAAAUUAAGUUAGAAGCUUCUAGAAACUAUGUUGUGAACAAAAGCUUAAAAAAUUUGAUAUCCAAGUAGGUAAUAGAAUUAGCUUAAACUCCAAAACAUAAUUACUGCAGCUUCCUCACUUUUUACGGCGCACACAUUGUGGUAACUGAGAGCUUGUAUUGGAGUUGGAUCAGAGAAGCCUUAAUUGGGAUGCUCUUUAGAAAAAAAAGGGACACAUAAGAAAGCAAUUCGUCAGGUUUACGGAGCCACAUAAAGUAUCAUUCUCCGACAGCAUAAGGACAAAUUCGUUUCUGUCUAGACACAGCGGUGAAUUAUAUGAAUCAAAAUUCAGCAACAUCUAAAGAUUCUUCCAUGAGCUUUCGGUGAACCAAAGCCUUUUCUAAAAAAAACAUUAUCCACUAAAACAUGCACUCCAAAUUAUUAGGAAAAAUCCCAACAAGUGACACAGUAUAUGACAUCAGCUCCUCUAAGAGAAAAUAUCGUACCUCGAACAAAAGAGAGUGUACAUGACAAAAAUUAUGAUUCUACACAGUUUAUACCUGCUAGUAAUUGUUUUUUUUUAACAACUCCUGCCAAUAAAUUUUAAUAUCUGAAUUUACUAACUCUCAUAAGAUAAAUAUGGCUAGCAGAUUUUUAAAAACUUCAAUGAUAGAAAAAAAUAGUUCCCACCAUUAAUCACUAAAUCAAACAGAAAAAGAAACAAAAAGAAGUAUGAGAAUAUAAUUUUUUUUUUUUUUGAAUGGAUGUUAAAUUAACUCAAAAGAAAAUACACUGUUUUUGCAACUUGUGCUACAUUUUUAGGAAUAACUUCAAAAUUUUAUAAAAUUUUAGACUAUAUGCUAUCUGGUAGAAACCACACCCCUAAGGCUGCAGCAAAUGUGAAAUUCCGAACCUGCCGGAACGAGAGACAUUUGUUUCGGACUUGCCUAUGAAGUAUGCCGACCAUAACAGAGACUGUAGUUGGAGUAGCUCCAUGUCUUCUGUCAUUUCUUUCUCGCCAUAAAGAAUGUAUCGAGAGUUGGAAGACAUAGCGGGUUAAGAACUUGGAGAGAAAAUUCUGACUGUUAUCCUUGAUGAUCUCUAUUAGCUCUGUCCAGUCAGUUGUGAAACUCCCACGAAGAAGAUUUUUGGUUAACCGAGACCAUACCUCAGCGGCGAAUGGACAGGAGAAGAAUAAAUGAUUCCUAGUUUCCAGCUGGUUGCAGAACACACACGCUGGGUUUACACUAGAAGACGGUUUUGAAUAGCUAACCAAGUAAAGAAAGCAAAUUUUGGAGUGUGGUGUUUGAACCAUAAGCUCUUUUGCUAAUCGACAAUUGGAGCUUGCUGAUGAAGUAAACUCCAAUUGUUUUUUGUACUGAAUACUGGUUUAUACUCAUACGGAGAACUCUUCCAGAUAGCACAAUCCUCUUCAUUGGAUAGCUUGGCUCUCUGUUCUACCAUAGCAGCUUCAAUGAUGUUCAGAAUAUCUUGUAGAUGGUCUCUACUUCGUCUUCUCGAAAGCAAAGCUAAGGAGACCGUUGCAGUCGCUCUAAUUCCUAAGUCAAUGCACCCACGGACUCCAGUGAUAUCAUACAGACAUCCCAGUGGAGACCAAGAAUCAAACCAGAAAGAGGUUCGGUUUCCAUUUCCCACCUUCAUUUUAUGGAAUUGUUUUGCAAGGUCUCUAUACUUCAGAAGCUUUCUCCACACCCAUGAUCCUGCAGUUGUUGUAUCCUUGAUAGACCAUAUGAUGUCACUCUUAACCAAGUACGUUUGGAUCCAUUUGGCCCAAAGAGAAGGUUGAGAGGACGUGAGCUUCCAUAGCAGUUUCAGAGUAAGGACUUUGUUCAUCGCCUUCAGUGAUCUGAGACCCAGACCUCCUUCUUUCUUAGGGAGGCAGACCACAUCCCAGGAAACUUUUGCUUUCUUCACAUUAAGAGAAGGACCAGACCAAAGGAAAGCAGAGCAGAGGCUGUUGAUUUCCUUAAUAAACUGCCCCGAGAGCGUGAAACCAGUCAUCCAGAAAUUGACUAUGCUUAGCAAAACUGACUUUAUCAACUGCAGCCGACCAGCCAUAGACAGGAAGCGGUUAGUCCAUAAGCUAAUACACAUCUUUAUCUUCUUGAUAAGCACCUGAUAAUCCUCUUUUCGCAUCUGACGUGUGAGAAGAGGCAAGCCUAGAUAAUGCACCGGCAAUGUACCAGAAGCAAACUGAAAUGUAUUAAGCAGUUCUUGACGAUUCUCAUCCGUCAUACCAGCAUAAUAGAUUGUCGAUUUCUCCAUGCUUAUCUUCAAACCUGAUACUUUUUCAAAAUAGUUAAAGACUUCCACAAUACUCUUGAUUGAUCGUACUCUUCCGUCCGUAAAUACCAUUAGAUCAUCAGCGAAACUGAGAUGAGUAAGCCCCAGAUUCUUACAUUUUGGAUGGUAUCCAAACUGGUUUUCUUUUGCAGACUUAUCCAGUAGUUUGGACAACACGUUCAUGCAUAUGACAAAGAGAUAUGGAGAAAGAGCACAACCUUGUCGCAAACCUCUUUCGCUCUGGAAAUAUCCAGCCAACUCGCCAUUUACUUGUACAGAGAAAGACGCUGUGGUAAUGCAAAGGGAUAUCCAAUGAAUGAACUUAGGAGGAAAGUUCAUGGCCUCAAGCGUCUUAAGUAAGAAGCUCCACUGAACCGAGUCGAAAGCCUUUGAGAUGUCUAUUUUCAACGCACAUCGUUUUGAUAUUGAGUCUUUGUGGUAGUCCUUUACCAGCUCAGUUGCAAGAAGGAGGUUUUCAAUGAGGAGUCUACCUUCACAAAAGCAGAUUGGUUCAGUUCGAUAAAGUCUGGCAGCGUGUUCUUCAAUCUGUUCGCUAUAAGCUUCGAAAUGACUUUAUAAAUAACGUUACAGCAUGAGAUCGGGCGGUAAUCCUUCAUCUCUCUGGCCCCUGUCUUCUUUGGUAGUAAAUCCAAAAUCGUGGUGUUGACUCCCUUUGGCAAGAAACCUUUUUCAAAGAAAGAUUGAAUCGAAAUGAUGAACUCCUUUCCAAUAACUGGCCAGGCUGUUUUGAAGAAUUCCACUGUGUAACCGUCUGGUCCCGGUGACUUAUCGCUCGGCAUCGCAAAUAGCACUUUAGUUAUCUCCUCUGCUGUGAUUUCCUUCAGUAGCAUCUCAUGUACUGUAUCAGAGCAACGAUAAGGUAGCAAGUCGCGCAGCUUAUCAAUCUCUAUGCUCUCAAAAUCUGGUGGCUUAUGUUGUAAAAAUUCCCUGAAGAAACUCUCAGCUUCCUCUUUGAUCUCCUCUUGUUUAUGAACCACUCUCCCAUCGCGACAUAGCACCUCAUAAAUCGAGUUCUGAUUAUUUCUUGCAGUAGCUGCUCUGUGAAAGACUUUAUUACUCCUAUCACCAACAUUGAGCCAAUGCAGUUUUGACUUCUGUUUCAAAAAUUUCUCCUCAAGACCUGAAACUUUAUCCCAUCUUUCAUAGGCAACAUUCUCAAUCUCCAAAUUGACCUGUGAUGGGUCACGCAUACUAAGUUCUUGUUUUUGACAAAGAUCUGCGUAAGCUUCAUUCGUUUUCUUUGUCAAGUUCCCCAUGCUAUCCUUUGCUAAAGACCUGAUCUCUGGUUUCAGUGCCUUCAGCUUUUUUGAAAAUCUGUAUAGAGAUGAAGUCGACGAGAAAAUGGGAACAGAGUUGUUCCAAAACUGCGACAUCAUCGGUAGAAAGUUUUCUAACUCAGGAACUGCAUUGACAAAUUUGAAAGGUCUCUUAGGCCGACAAGUUUCAGAACUCAUAUUAAUCCGACAGCGCAAAUGGUCAGAGCAUCCUCCUCCCUUAAACACAUUAUAUGAUUGUGGGAAAACACUGAGCCAAGAAUCAUUAAACAAUAUUCGAUCAAGCUUCUUAGAUAUAAUCCUUUCACCUUGCUUGUUACUCCAAGUGUAAAGCGGACCAUGAGAAGGAAGAUCAAGCAGAGAACAGUGUUGGGUGACACUUUGAAAUGAACGCAUUCCUUGCGUUAUGAACGGGUUCGUUUCAUGAUCUGAAUGCUCCUCAACAUCCAAGGUUUCAUUGAAAUCUCCCAGCACUAGCCACACCUUGUUCCUAAAGCUUGGCGAAUUUUGAUGAUUAUUUAAGUCCUCCCAGAGUACAUUCCUUUCAGCUUCUGUGUUCUUUGCAUAAAUUACAGAAAGAAAAAAUUCAUCCCCGCCACUAAGAACCAUAGAGACCGUGAUCAGUUGAUCACUUUUAAAUACUGGAGUUACUCUCACAUCAGAUCGCCACACCAACCAUAUUCGACCCAAGUGAUUGUACUCGUAGUUUGUUAACACAGACCAGUCACCGAAGACAGAAGUAGUUAUCCUCUGACUCCUUACCUCUUUAACCCUUGUUUCCAACAGAGCACCAAACUGAAAACCUUGCUCUCUAAUCCACUUUUUUACAACAGAAUGUUUUUCCUUUUUAUUAAAACUUCGGACAUUCCAAAAGAAACCCGACAUAAUUAAUGUUUUUUAUGAUUUUUCCUUUUCCCUCCAACACUUGGAACUGUGUCCUUUGUGCUAAGAGUGCUCUUUCCAGAAAUGUUUCUGUUAACUCCACGAGAUGGUUUGUGAACAGCUGAGCGAAGAAGUCUUUCUCUUGUUUCAGCUUUAUCAUUUCCCCUUAUCUCCUUUGAAUUUACUUCAUCUUCUUCUAUAGGAUCAGUUCCUUCCUCAGGCCGGAAUUCACCCUCCUCCGUAUCCUUCUCGAUAGCAUUGCUAUCAUUACCUUCACCCAUAUCCACUUGACCCUCCUCCACAUCUAGUACUGCAAAACGAGAUGGUGAACUAAUCUUCGGAUCAGGGACAUGGUCCUUGCCUCCUGAUCUGCACAUCUUCGAAGGAGAGACAUUUUUCCAUCCCAAAUCCUCUGUUUCACCACCCUUCUCAUGGUGCUCUGUUGUUACGUUCAGAACUGUAUUCCUCGUGGUCUCUACUGAUGCCAAAUUUUCAGAGAGAAGUUCCAUAUCUUUAGUUGUAUCUACUACUUGAACGCUUGCUCCAGUAAUAUCCAAAGCAUUUUGUUGAUCCUUCUGCGAUGCGUCUACCAGAGAAGUCUCAAUCUCAUUUGCCAUAGUCUUUGUGGGUGACUUGGCCUUAGUCAAAAUUUUUACCUUAGCACGACAAGUUGUAUGAAGGUGCCCCCAUUUGGAACAGAUGGUGCAUCUGUCCGGCAACCUUGGGUAAACAAAUUCGACCUCCGCAUCUACCCCAACUUUAGACUUGAAACGAUGGCUAGUCGGCAGUUCUUUUGUCAUAUUAGCUUCGACAAAAACUUUCGCUUCCUCAAAGCUUUUACAUUGGAGCGUAUCUGGGUGUAAGCGCUUUGUUUUUCCUACAGCACUAGCUAUCAAACCAAGGCCUUUCCAAGAGAACAUCAUGUGGGGAACAUUCUUCAUGGUGAUCCACAUUGGAAUAGUUUUUAUCUCUUCGACCUCUUCUUCCUCCUCCUAAGGGGAUCACUUUGAAAGAACUAAUGGGAUGUUUGCAAUAUUCCACAUGCCCCUUUUCAAAACCCUUUUCCUUGUAGCCUCGUCUUUGAUUCUGAAUUUCACAGUGCGAUCAUUGACAACGUAGACGUCAAUUUUGAUAGAUUUAUCUCCCAAAGGCCAGAUCUUAUUGACUAUGAAAUGGAUUCUUGCUACAUGUGGUGCCUUGUCCAGAAAUCGACCUUCAACAAGAUCAUCCCAAAGAGGCACAGAUUCUGAUAUCACAUCAUCCGGUACUUCAACAACUUUUUGUCCUUCACAUACUCCUAUUUCUUGAACUUGCUCAGAGAGCGAUGGUCCAUUCUCUACGACUUUAACCCAUGACAGGUUCAACAGCUUCACAGGUUCUACCUUGCUCGUUUCCGAGCCCGACUCCACGGCGACUUGAGUCUCCGGUGCCGACAUCGGCGUGGGGACUGAUUUCUUGCGGCGAACUCUUAAAAACCCUAAUCUCAUCACAAAUCGCCCUAUGCUGAUGUGUCCCUAUCUUUAAAGAGCUUCUAUGAGAAUAUAAUAUAGCACACUCUUUUUUCUUCUCCUCCCUCUUCUUGUUAGUGUUUUCUUUGAUCUUUAAGUGCAUCCCCCAUCUGACAAUGAAUCAUCUCUUUAGUGGGUAUAUAAUUCUGUAAAUACGCAGAUGCAUGUACCUGUUAUACACCACCACCAAUGAAUAUUAGUGUAAACUCACAAAACCCAAGAAACUACAAACGUUGUCAAUACAAAAGCAUUUUACUUUCUGUUCUCUUCUAUUAAUUAACACAAAAACGCUUAGCGUCGGUAUGAAAAUCCAUUUAGUUCCCCACUCGUGAAACAGCUGAACUAAAUCAUAUUCAACCCAAUGAAGUCACAAUCACAAACCAAACAUCUAAAAACAUGAACUUGAGCAAAAUCGAUGCAUAAUCUUUACAAAAGAGGGAUUUCGAGGUGUUACAUCUACAUGGCCAGAAUCACCUCUCCAUUGGAGCUUUGGAUCACUUUCUUUUUCUUCUUUCGCAAUUCGUGGCUUUAUUCAAUUUUCCGGAGAACAUGGAUGGACCUAUGAGCAGAAGAUCCAACCCAAGAGUGACUAUUGCAAAAUUCAAAUCAGAUUCGCAAUAAUAGAACAAACAGAGAGACCUGAAAAUGAAAAACAUUAUAUAUUAAAAUAUAUAUAGAUACACACAUGGACAUGAUGAAUCUAAUGGAGGAAGGCGGAAAUUAUUCUUAGACAGUAUCAACACUUCUCAUGUACACCACAGUUACGUAAUGCAGAAGAUAAAUCAAGAGACAAAAUAGAUACAAUCAACCAACUAUUGCUUUAUUAGAAAUCGCCUCAACAAUCUAUUACAAGACUUGCUUAUCUGUUAAUCUAUUUAAUAUAUAACGUUUCUAAAAAAUCUUAUAAAUUAUAUAGAUAUUAAUAAAUAAAUUUUAACUGUAAAUUCAAAUUUUAUUUACAAAAUAUGUUGGAAAAAAUCUAGCAAAAUCUUAAUAAAAUUUUAAAUAAUCUAUCCAAACUUGUCUCUCUGUCGUCAGUACUUCAGCAACUGUCAGCACGACCCAAGAACACCCCUAAGGAAUUUUCACCAUUCCUCUAUAAUAAUAGCCAGUGUCUUAUAGAAUACACACGACUCCAUAACCCUUUUAUAGUGAUCUCCACGUUCCUGAAAUCCUAGCUUCCAAGGAACAUGGAUAUGGACAACUUCCAUAUCAAUAAGUACACUUUCCUUUUCUUAAUGCACUUAUUCCUCAAGGCAUAAACUUGCUCCCCAAGUUUAUUUCUUGUCUUUUCUCCACGGUAUAAACUUGCUCCUCAAUUUUAUCUCACGCCAGCUCAGCAUCUUGCGUCCACAUGGUCUCUACCACUCCGCAUGCCUCUUGGUUCACUCUCUAACAUACACUGACUCAACAACUACUUCAAUGACUACGUCAAGACAUAAACCCUCAGUUUAUCCUUCUCCAUCUCAGCAUAUCUUGCAUCCAUAUGGUAACCCACCACUCUGCAUGCCUUAUAUUGUAACGACUAUUGCAUCCAGCAUCAGUGACUUCGUCGCCUAGUUAGUUACGGAAGACUGUUGACAUCUACAGGCUCCACUUGCAUCUUCACAACCCACCGGUCUUCUUUCAGAUUCAGUUUCCACAUCUUCUUACCGUUUAUCUCGUGGAGAGUUGAGAAUGUCAAAGAGCAUCAGCAAUAUCAGCGAGUGGAGAAAGCGGCGUCUUCGUCGUCGCAAUGGAUGCUCAAACACAUAAUCUUGAAAGUUCCUUUCGUCCACGACAACACUAAAAAUAAGAGGCUGUCACGAGAAGAGCUUAACCAUGUGGUGGCCAUGCGACGCAGAAGAGAGAAGCUAAAUGAGAGAUUCAUAACGUUGAGAUCAUUGGUUCCAUUUGUGACCAAGAUGGAUAAAGUCUCGAUCCUUGGAGACACCAUUGAGUACGUAAACCAUCUUUCUAAGAGGAUCCAUGAGCUGGAAUCUACUCAUCACGAGCCAAACCAAAAGCGGAUGCGUAUCGGUAAGGGACGAACUUGGGAAGAGGUGGAGGUUUCCAUUAUAGAGAGCGAUGUUUUGUUAGA